This 466-nucleotide ribosomal RNA is filed under the name uncultured bacterium. RNAcentral describes it as "partial 16S ribosomal RNA". It matches the Rfam family "Bacterial small subunit ribosomal RNA", at positions 28 to 507 of the family's 1533-position model. The record is from RNAcentral.
GAUGAACGCUGGCGGCGUGCUUAACACAUGCAAGUCGAACGAUGAAGCCCAGCUUGCUGGGUGGAUUAGUGGCGAACGGGUGAGUAACACGUGAGUAACCUGCCCUUGACUCUGGGAUAAGCCCGGGAAACUGGGUCUAAUACCGGAUAGGAGCGCCUGUCGCAUGACGGGUGUUGGAAAGAUUUUUCGGUCAUGGAUGGACUCGCGGCCUAUCAGCUUGUUGGUGAGGUAAUGGCUCACCAAGGCGACGACGGGUAGCCGGCCUGGGAGGGUGACCGGCCACACUGGGACUGAGACACGGCCCAGACUCCUACGGGAGGCAGCAGUGGGGAAUAUUGCACAAUGGGCGGAAGCCUGAUGCAGCGACGCCGCGUGAGGGAUGACGGCCUUCGGGUUGUAAACCUCUUUCAGUAGGGAAGAAGCGAAAGUGACGGUACCUGCAGAAGAAGCACCGGCUAACUACGUG